Micropterus dolomieu (smallmouth bass) is the source of this 408-nucleotide long non-coding RNA. RefSeq lists it as uncharacterized. Lineage: Eukaryota; Metazoa; Chordata; Actinopteri; Centrarchiformes; Centrarchidae. The transcript is spliced from 3 exons. The record is from RefSeq and is a predicted model, not a curated record.
CGGGAGGUGCUCUUUCCUGCCUCUACUCUCUACCCUUCCUCGCCCAAAUUCAUUACAAGGUGAAUCAGUGCCCCAGCCUUGCUGCAAAAGUUUGUUCAAUUUAUCUGCCCUGUGUGUGGCAGGUCAGUGGCAGUGGUGUAAAGCUAGAAGUAACGGUGUGACGCCUCCGUCUGUGUGUCUGCCUCCCGUUGGGCUCUCCUGUCAUUGCUCCCCUCCUUCCCCAGCUUCAUUUCCGCUGCUUCUCCUCUUUGUCCCCGGCCUUGUUGCCGCCGUCCCCGUGCCGGUUGUUGGAAGGAUUGUUGAGAAACAUCUUGUCGAGUCCUUUGAGAGCCUCGGUGAGGUAGUUCUGGAGGGUGGUGAGCGCGGCGCAGAUGGCGGGCGAGCCGAAGCCGUGCGUGAUGAAGGAGA